RNAcentral lists this ribosomal RNA (698 nucleotides) under Absidia anomala. Its description in RNAcentral is "eukaryotic LSU rRNA". It matches the Rfam family "Eukaryotic large subunit ribosomal RNA", at positions 50 to 648 of the family's 3401-position model. The record is from RNAcentral. Lineage: Eukaryota; Fungi; Mucoromycota; Mucoromycetes; Mucorales; Cunninghamellaceae.
GCGGAGGAAAAGAAAAUAACAAUGAUUCCCCCAGUAAUGGCGAAUGAACAGGGAAAAGCUCAAAGUUGGAACCUCCUGGCCUUAGGUUAGGCGGAUUGUAAACUAAAGUUUUCGAGUAGUUUGGCUAGCCUGGUAAAUAAGUUCUCUGGAAAGGGACGACAAAGAGGGUGAAAUCCCCGUUUUUGGCCAGAGUUUUAGUCUUGCGUUUGCUUGGGAAUGAAGAGUCAGGUUGUUUGGUAUUGCAGCCUAAAGUGGGAGGUAAAUCUCUCCUAAAGCUAAAUAUUGACGAAAGACCGAUAGCGAACAAGUACCGUGAGGGAAAGAUGAAAAGCACCUUGAAAAGGGGGUCAAAAAGUACGUGAAAUUGCUGAAAGGGAACCGUAUGAAAUCAGUUUGGCCAGCUAGUAAUCAACCUAGACUUUGGUUUGGGUGCACUUGCUAGUAGGUACAGCUUACGACAAUUUUGCUCGGGGGAAAAAAUCAGGGGAAAUGUAGCUUCGACUUCGGUUGAAGUGUUAUAGUCCUUUGAAAAAUACUCUGGGUGGGAUUGAGGAAUGCAGCAAGCCUUUGGGAUGAACUGUGGGUGCUUGUUGGCUUUGAAGGGGAAAUUUCUAUUCAGGUAGUGUUCUUUUCAGGGCCGAUAACUCGCCUACUUUUUCUUUUUCUUGCUUAGGUCGUAGCAUAAUGAUUUAUAUGAC